CCUACGGGGUGCAGCAGUGAGGAAUAUUGGUCAAUGGACGAGAGUCUGAACCAGCCAAGUAGCGUGAAGGAUGACUGCCCUAUGGGUUGUAAACUUCUUUUAUAUGGGACUAAAAUGUUCCACGUGUGGGCUUUUGUAUGUACCAUAUGAAUAAGGAUCGGCUAACUCCGUGCCAGCAGCCGCGGUAAUCCGGAGGGUCCGGGCGUUAUCCGGAUUUAUUGGUUUUAAAGGGAUCGUAGGUGGAUUGUUAAGUCAGUUGUGAAAGUUUGCGGCUCAACCGUAAAACUGCAGUUGAAACUGGCAGGCUUGAGUAUAGUAGAGGUGGGUAGAAUUCGAGGGGUAGCGGUGAAAUGCGUAGAGAUCAGGAAGAAGACCGAUGGCGAAGGCAGUCCACUGGACUGAAACUGAC
RNAcentral lists this ribosomal RNA (409 nucleotides) under uncultured bacterium. RNAcentral describes it as "partial 16S ribosomal RNA". It matches the Rfam family "Bacterial small subunit ribosomal RNA", at positions 338 to 744 of the family's 1533-position model. The record is from RNAcentral.